GAGGAGGCAGUUCUAUUGAUACCGAAGGCGACACGUUACCAUUGGUUUCUGCAGAAAGAAACCAGAAAACGCAUGUCCUUUUCCGUAGAAUUAUGUAGCCACAGUACGUUUUUAUCACUUUAAGCCAAUUGAUUUGGUAUUUAGUCGAGAUAAUUCGAGACAGUUGAAGAAAAAACAACGCAGACAGACAAUCCUGUGAAUGGAAUUUUUUUCGUUGAGUGAAACAGCAGCAGAAACAAACGAUUUGAGAAAUCAUCAAAUCUGAAGAUGUCAGCAAGUAUUUACAAACGGGUCAAAGCAGAGGUCAGUGCCAAACUGAAAAUGUUGAAGUCGAAGAAGUUCAGACGAUUUCAACGCCAUCUGUGUCGGAAGAUGGYUGAUAAGAGUGUUAAGAUGAUGAAAGUGAAAGACAUUGUGGCAGUACUGAUGAAGAAAUAUGGAAAAAAGACCAGUCACKUUGUGUCCUCACUUCUAAAAGACAGUAAAUAUCGGAGUAAACGGAGACGAAGUCAACAAGGCAUUGAGAGCGAGGAGAUUCCGACAAUAACUCCCAUSGAGGUYGAGAUGGAUGACCAACAGGUAAUGGAGCUUUUCUAGAUGUGUUCUUUCCAGCUACAGUGAUUCUGAACGUUCCUAUAGAUGUGUAUGGGACAUCGGUUUGUUUUCUGUUCAUUGGCAGUGCCAUUGAUGCUUUCACCAUUUUGAGCAGUCAACUGGGUGGGGCUUGGUAUGGGUUAGGAGGGAUCAAUAAGAUUCAUUCAGGUCAGCAGGAGGGAUCAUAGAAUUCCAUUCAGGUCAGCAGGAGGGAUCAUAGAAUCCAUUCAGGUCAGCAGGAGGGAUCAUAGAAUUCCAUUCAGGUCAGCAGGAGGGAUCAUGGAAUUCCAUUCAGGUCAGCAGGAGGGAUCAUAGAAUUCCAUUCAGGUCAGCAGGAGGGAUCAUAGAAUUCCAUUCAGGUCAGCAGGAGGGAUCAUAGAAUUCCAUUCAGGUCAGCAGGAGGGAUCAUAGGAUUCCAUUCAGGUCAGCAGGAGGGAUCAUAAGAUUCCAUUCAGGUCAGCAGGAGGGAUCAUAAGAUUCCAUUCAGGUCAGCAGGAGGGAUCAUAAGAUUCACAUUCAGGUCAGCAGGAGGGAUCAUAGAAUUCCUUCAGGUCAGCAGGAAGGAUCAUAGAAUUCCUCCAGGUCAGCA
Molecule: long non-coding RNA, 1183 nt
Organism: Salvelinus sp. IW2-2015
Lineage: Eukaryota; Metazoa; Chordata; Actinopteri; Salmoniformes; Salmonidae
Source: RefSeq, a predicted model, not a curated record